This 480-nucleotide ribosomal RNA is filed under the name Porphyromonas cangingivalis. Its description in RNAcentral is "bacterial SSU rRNA". It matches the Rfam family "Bacterial small subunit ribosomal RNA", at positions 9 to 478 of the family's 1533-position model. The record is from RNAcentral. Lineage: Bacteria; Pseudomonadati; Bacteroidota; Bacteroidia; Bacteroidales; Porphyromonadaceae.
GAGUUUGAUCAUGGCUCAGGAUGAACGCUAGCGAUAGGCUUAACACAUGCAAGUCGAGGGGCAUCACGGAAUUAGCUUGCUAAUCUUGGUGGCGACCGGCGUAAGGGUGCGUAACGCGUAUGCAACUUGCCUGUCAGUGGGGAAUAACCCGGAGAAAUCCGGACUAAUACCGCAUACACUUUAGUUUCCGCAUGGGGACUUUAGGAAAGAUUUAUUGCUGACAGAUAGGCAUGCGUUCCAUUAGAUAGUUGGUGAGGUAACGGCUCACCAAGUCAACGAUGGAUAGGGGAGCUGAGAGGCUUAUCCCCCACACUGGAACUGAGACACGGACCAGACUCCUACGGGAGGCAGCAGUGAGGAAUAUUGGUCAAUGGGCGAGAGCCUGAACCAGCCAAGUCGCGUGAAGGAAGACGGUCCUAUGGAUUGUAAACUUCUUUAGUAGGUGAGUACAAGCAGUUAUCGUGUAAGCUGUAAGGCAAA